RNAcentral lists this ribosomal RNA (491 nucleotides) under uncultured bacterium. RNAcentral describes it as "bacterial SSU rRNA". It matches the Rfam family "Bacterial small subunit ribosomal RNA", at positions 45 to 535 of the family's 1533-position model. The record is from RNAcentral.
GGCCUUACCAUGCAGUCGACGGCAGCACGGACUUCGGUCUGGUGGCGAGUGGCGAACGGGUGAGUAAUGUAUCGGAACGUGCCCAGUAGCGGGGGAUAACUACGCGAAAGCGUAGCUAAUACCGCAUACGCCCUACGGGGGAAAGCAGGGGAUCGCAAGACCUUGCACUAUUGGAGCGGCCGAUAUCGGAUUAGCUAGUUGGUGGGGUAACGGCUCACCAAGGCGACGAUCCGUAGCUGGUUUGAGAGGACGACCAGCCACACUGGGACUGAGACACGGCCCAGACUCCUACGGGAGGCAGCAGUGGGGAAUUUUGGACAAUGGGGGAAACCCUGAUCCAGCCAUCCCGCGUGUGCGAUGAAGGCCUUCGGGUUGUAAAGCACUUUUGGCAGGAAAGAAGCGUCGUGGGUUAAUACCCCGCGAAACUGACGGUACCUGCAGAAUAAGCACCGGCUAACUACGUGCCAGACCCCGGGGGAAAAUAACUGCCC